This 269-nucleotide ribosomal RNA is filed under the name uncultured prokaryote. RNAcentral's name for it is "partial 16S ribosomal RNA". It matches the Rfam family "Bacterial small subunit ribosomal RNA", at positions 524 to 792 of the family's 1533-position model. The record is from RNAcentral.
CACGGGGGGGGCAAGCGUUGUCCGGAAUCAUUGGGCGUAAAGAGCGCGUAGGCGGGAUGAUCAGUCCGAGGUGAAAACUUGAGGCUCAACCUCAAGCUUGCCUUGGAAACAGUCAUUCUUGAGUUCGGAAGAGGGAAGUGGAAUUCCUGGUGUAGCGGUGAAAUGCGUAGAUAUCAGGAAGAACACCGGUGGCGAAGGCGGCUUCCUGGUCCGAUACUGACGCUGAGGCGCGAAAGCGUGGGGAGCAAACAGGAUUAGAUACCCCCGUA